CUGACGAGUGGCGGACGGGUGAGUAAUGCUUAGGAAUCUACCCAGUAGAGGGGGACAACCCGGGGAAACUCGGGCUAAUACCGCGUACGCUCUACGGAGGAAAGCGGGGGAUCUUCGGACCUCGCGCUAUUGGAUGAGCCUAAGUCGGAUUAGCUUGUUGGUGGGGUAAAGGCCUACCAAGGCGACGAUCCGUAGCUGGUCUGAGAGGACGAUCAGCCACACUGGGACUGAGACACGGCCCAG
RNAcentral lists this ribosomal RNA (243 nucleotides) under uncultured bacterium. RNAcentral's name for it is "partial 16S ribosomal RNA". It matches the Rfam family "Bacterial small subunit ribosomal RNA", at positions 88 to 334 of the family's 1533-position model. The record is from RNAcentral.